GACGAACGCUGGCGGCGUGCUUAACACAUGCAAGUCGAACGGAAAGGCCCUGCUUUUGUGGGGUGCUCGAGUGGCGAACGGGUGAGUAACACGUGAGUAACCUGCCCUUGACUUUGGGAUAACUUCAGGAAACUGGGGCUAAUACCGGAUAGGAGCUCCUGCUGCGUGGUGGGGGUUGGAAAGUUUCGGCGGUUGGGGAUGGACUCGCGGCUUAUCAGCUUGUUGGUGGGGUAGUGGCUUACCAAGGCUUUGACGGGUAGCCGGCCUGAGAGGGUGACCGGCUACAUUGGGACUGAGAUACGGCCCAGACUCCUACGGGAGGCAGCAGUGGGGAAUAUUGCACAAUGGGCGGAAGCCUGAUGCAGCAACGCCGCGUGCGGGAUGACGGCCUUCGGGUUGUAAACCGCUUUCGCCUGUGACGAAGCGUGAGUGACGGUAAUGGGUAAAGAAGCACCGGCUAACUACGUG
RNAcentral lists this ribosomal RNA (468 nucleotides) under uncultured bacterium. RNAcentral's name for it is "partial 16S ribosomal RNA". It matches the Rfam family "Bacterial small subunit ribosomal RNA", at positions 28 to 507 of the family's 1533-position model. The record is from RNAcentral.